AUGGAGGAGGGCUCGCAAUUGCAGUUGCACAGCAUAUUGCCGCUGUUCCUAAUAAGCACUCGGGAAAUACUGGAGUCACAAAUGAGCCAUAGUGUCGUGGUGUGGUGCCCUGGCAGCGGCAACUUUAAUGUGCGGAACCCGUUAGAUUUUCCGCACGACAUACUGCCCAACGGAGCACAAAAUGAUGAGGUGGUUGUUGCACCCGUCAAUCUGAAACUGAGCAAAUGGACUCAACUUUCUAGCAUUUUGAGGGUUACAGAUAUAGAACCAACAUACGAGAAAUAUAUUUUUUUAAAUGGCUUCAACUGA
This 309-nucleotide ribosomal RNA is filed under the name Triticum aestivum (bread wheat). RNAcentral's name for it is "partial small subunit ribosomal RNA". Lineage: Eukaryota; Viridiplantae; Streptophyta; Magnoliopsida; Poales; Poaceae. The record is from RNAcentral.